Molecule: long non-coding RNA, 1002 nt
Filed under: Drosophila guanche
Lineage: Eukaryota; Metazoa; Arthropoda; Insecta; Diptera; Drosophilidae
Source: RNAcentral
GGACGGCAUAAUCAGGCCAUCUAGGUCGCCAUACAACAGCCCAAUUUGGGUUGUAGACAAAAAGAAAUCUGACGUCAAAGGCAACAGGAAAAAGCGGCUGGUAAUCGACUUCAGAAAACUGAACGAGCGAACAAUUGCCGAUCGAUACCCUAUGCCGAGCAUACCCAUGAUUCUAGCGAACUUGGGAAAGGCAAGAUUUUUUACUACCCUAGAUCUAAAAUCAGGGUACCACCAGAUAUACAUGGCGGAAAAAGACCGUGAAAAAACUUCGUUUUCAAUUAACGGAGGGAAAUACGAGUUUUGCCGGUUACCCUUUGGACUAAAGAAUGCUGGGAGCAUUUUCCAAAGGGCAAUCGACGAUGUUCUACGAGAACAAAUUGGGAAAAUAUGUUAUGUCUAUGUAGAUGAUGUAAUAAUUUUUUCCGAAAACGAAAAUGAUCACGUUAAACACAUCGACACAGCGCUUAAACGCCUCUGCGAUGCAAACAUGAGAGUGGCCCCAGAAAAGACAAAGUUCUUUAAAGAAAGCGUAGAGUUCUUAGGCUUCAUAGUUACCAGGGGAGGAGCCGAGACCGACCCAGAAAAAGUAAGGGCAAUAAGGGAAUACACUGAACCCAAAACACUGUUCAGCCUCAGGUCCUUCCUCGGGCUGGCCAGCUAUUACAGGAGCACAAUCUAAGGGCCAUCCAAGAACUUAGAAGCGACAUGACAUCCGGUGGGUCACCCAAGACCUGCUUCAUUGCAGGAGUGGCGGCCAGCCUCAAGCUCUGUGGCCUUAUCCUGUUGCAUCAAUGCUGGAGUCGAAGGAACUCCUCAAUCAAGUUGCAAAAGGUCAUCAGAGAGAUAGGUAUCGCCGAGGACGGAGAUGAUUUAAGGGGGGAGUAGUUAACACAUAAGCAAUAACAUGGGACACCCUAACUUAGCGCACAAGAAAUGUGAAAUAUCAUGUGCCGCCCUAACUUAUCCAGUCCGAUACGGAGGGCGCCGAUGCAGUAGAUGCCG